GACGAACGCUGGCGGCGUGCCUAAUACAUGCAAGUCGAGCGCAGAGGGGAGGUACUUGUACCUACUGGGUGAGCGGCGGACGGGUGAGUAACGCGUGGAGAAUCUGCCUAUGAGCGGGGGACAACAUCGGGAAACGGAUGCUAAUACCGCAUAAAAACUUUAAACACAAGGUUCAAGAGUGAAAGACGCAAUUGCAUCACUCAAUGGUGAUACCGCGUUGUCUUAGCUAGGUGGGGAGGGAAAGGCUUACCCAGGCGAUGAAACCUAGGCGGCCCGGGAGGGUGGUCGGCCCACUUGGGAACUGGACACGGCCCCAACCCCUUCGGGAGGCCGCCGGAGGGAAAUUUCGGCAAAGGGCCGAAGGCCGACCGAGCCACGCCGCGGGGGUGAAUAAAGUUCUCGGAUCGGAAAACCUCGUUUGUAGGGAAGAAAGUUGGUGGGAAUUGAAUGCGCAUGAAGUGACGGUACCUACCCAGAAAGCGACGGCUAACUACGUG
Molecule: ribosomal RNA, 497 nt
Filed under: uncultured bacterium
Lineage: Bacteria
Description: partial 16S ribosomal RNA
Rfam family: Bacterial small subunit ribosomal RNA
Source: RNAcentral